Molecule: long non-coding RNA, 1201 nt
Organism: Papaver somniferum (opium poppy)
Lineage: Eukaryota; Viridiplantae; Streptophyta; Magnoliopsida; Ranunculales; Papaveraceae
Exons: 3
Source: RefSeq, a predicted model, not a curated record
AAUAUUAAUAAGAAUCUAAGGUUACAGUGAACCACUCUUGCUCCACCACUACUAUUUUCUAUCUAUCUUUCUCUAUUCACUAGGAGCUCUAGGAGCUCUGUAUGAACAACUCUAAUCUCUAUGCUCAUACAUCUCCACAAACUAUUUCUAUCAAUAUUACCCAGAAUCAAAUUCAUUUACAAAUACCGACAGUUUUACUGCUGAGUCGCCCAAACUGGUUGAAGAGGAAGAAGAAUAUGAUGAUGAUUAGGGUUUAACUGUUGCGAUUUUCUCACGUGUGCAGAUCCUCUGUCCCAUAUAUCUCUCUGUGCCCCUGUCUCGACCACUCCUGAUAUAACACGUAUCUUUUAUUUUAACGGUGACUCAGGUAUCCUUUUAUACUCAUUGUGGUUGGAUUCCAAAGACUAUAGAAUUCUGUAACACCCUCACAAUGCAGUAAACAGACCAAGCCGUCGCAAGAACCCAUGCAUGAUACCAAAUAUCUUUGCAGAUUUAAACGGGUGAUGCUUCACAAUAACAACAGAGUGAAUCAGGUCUAGUGUAUUAAUGAAUUCAGGUCUAGUGUAUAAAACGAGAAAAAUAACUCGAUCUAACACCAAAGUGACCACUGACCAGACUGACAGCUACCAAACUCUAUUUCGAGCAUCGUUGUUCUGAAUCCGUUUUUGGUUCUAAAGUUAAACGUUGUAACUGAAGUGAUCAACAUAAGGCUGUCCGAGUGAUAAUAGUAUUACUGCCCCAUUGAAGAAUCACUGCUUGUGUCGAUUAAUUAAUGGCUGACUGGAACCCAUAAUACAGAACCAAUCAAUUUGUGAUGGAAGGAAUAUUUGGUGACCCAAUGACACUCGUGCGUGCCUUGGUGCGUCAGAUGACGGAAACUUAAAUUUGAGAUCGUCAGCUUAAAUUUUAUGUGCAAGGUCCAUGCAUAGAAGCGCUAAGUACAAGUGAAGUCAUUUUGGAGCAGUUACGAUCAAUCUUUGUUGUAUCCUCUUAUCUUCUAUAUAGUGCCGAGUAUAUAUGUAGUCCAAUGUUUUUCCAUAAGUCAUUUUACAUAAGUUUCUCGAUGAACACAAAAUAUUUGGUGGUCUCAUAUUAACAUUUGCUAUGCGCAUAGAUUUACUCUUCUUUUCUAAGAUUGCCCGUUGUCAGAGAUUACUCGCACCUUCCUCUUUUCUAAUUCUAAGUAUUACUCUGUGUCCAA